GAUGAACGCUGGCGGCGUGCCUAAUACAUGCAAGUCGAACGAAACUUCUUUAUCACCGAGUGCUUGCACUCACCGAUAAAGAGUUGAGUGGCGAACGGGUGAGUAACACGUGGGCAACCUGCCCAAAAGAGGGGGAUAACACUUAGAAACAGGUGCUAAUACCGCAUAACCAUAGUUACCGCAUGGUAACUAUGUAAAAGGUGGCUAUACUACCGCUUUUGGAUGGGCCCGCGGCGCAUUAGCUAGUUGGUAGGGUAAAGGCUUACCAAGGCAAUGAUGCGUAGCCGAAUUGAGAGGUUGAUCGGCCACAUUGGGACUGAGACACGGCCCAAACUCCUACGGGAGGCGGCAGUAGGGAAUCUUGCACAAUGGGCGAAAGCCUGAUGAAGCAACGCCGCGUGGGUGAAGAAGGUCUGCGGAUCGUAAAACCCUGUUGUUAGAAAAGAAAGUGCGUGAGAGUAACUGUUCACGUUUCGACGGUAUCUAACCAGAAAGCCACGGCUAACUACGU
This 511-nucleotide ribosomal RNA is filed under the name uncultured bacterium. Its description in RNAcentral is "partial 16S ribosomal RNA". It matches the Rfam family "Bacterial small subunit ribosomal RNA", at positions 28 to 506 of the family's 1533-position model. The record is from RNAcentral.